AAGAAGCAUUGGAUCCCAGAGAUGGAAUGGGAAAUGGAGAUGUUGAAGAGGCGGGUUGAUUAGUUCUGGUUGGAGGGCUACGAACUCCUUCUCAUUGUUCCGCUCCUCUUCUCUUCUUUAAUGGUUGACCAGGCACUGAAGGUCGAUCAUCUGUGUUCACCUGGUAUGGAUAUAAUUGAAGAGUGGAGGUGAAGGGCUCCUGUCAUCCGGCAAUGCAAGACCCACUCCAGAUCGAUGCCUCUUGGUCAGACCAUUUCCGUAUACUGAGAUUGACGACAUAGCGAGAACACCGAGAUCAUUCCGUCAGAGGUUAUUGCAGUGCUUAUUGAAUUGUCAACAAUCCUUCCUCUCUUCACAUCUGCUAGAAAGAAUUAUUAGGGCUUUGGAGAGUGAAUAGCUAUUCUUUUUCUCACAUCUCGAUUUCUGCCUUCUUUGGGAAGAUAAGAGACUUUGCUGCUCUCCCACCUUCAACUAAGGUAGUCGCUUAGCUAACUCAAAAAGCAUCCUCUAAC
Molecule: long non-coding RNA, 512 nt
Filed under: Lathyrus oleraceus (garden pea)
Lineage: Eukaryota; Viridiplantae; Streptophyta; Magnoliopsida; Fabales; Fabaceae
Description: Pisum sativum (pea) long non-coding RNA (PSAT_LNC032750)
Source: RNAcentral